GACGAACGCUGGCGGCGUGCUUAACACAUGCAAGUCGAACGGAAAGGCCCUGCUUUUGUGGGGUGCUCGAGUGGCGAACGGGUGAGUAACACGUGAGUAACCUGCCCUUGACUUUGGGAUAACUUCAGGAAACUGGGGCUAAUACCGGAUAGGAGCUCCUGCUGCAUGGUGGGGGUUGGAAAGUUUCGGCGGUUGGGGAUGGAUUCGCGGCUUAUCAGCUUGUUGGUGGGGUAGUGGCUUACCAGGGCUUUGACGGGUGGCCGGCCUGAGAGGGUGACCGGCCACAUUGGGACUGAGAUACGGCCCAGACUCCUACGGGAGGCAGCAGUGGGGAAUAUUGCACAAUGGGCGGAAGCCUGAUGCAGCAACGCCGCGUGCGGGAUGACGGCCUUCGGGUUGUAAACCGCUUUCGCCUGUGACGAAGCGUGAGUGACGGUAAUGGGUAAAGAAGCACCGGCUAACUACGUG
This 468-nucleotide ribosomal RNA is filed under the name uncultured bacterium. RNAcentral describes it as "partial 16S ribosomal RNA". It matches the Rfam family "Bacterial small subunit ribosomal RNA", at positions 28 to 507 of the family's 1533-position model. The record is from RNAcentral.